ACGAACGCUGGCGGCGUGCUUAACACAUGCAAGUCGAACGGAAAGGCCCUGCUUUUGUGGGGUGCUCGAGUGGCGAACGGGUGAGUAACACGUGAGUAACCUGCCCUUGACUUUGGGAUAACUUCAGGAAACUGGGGCUAAUACCGGAUAGGAGCUCCUGCUGCAUGGUGGGGGUUGGAAAGUUUCGGCGGUUGGGGAUGGACUCGCGGCUUAUCAGCUUGUUGGUGGGGUAGUGGCUUACCAAGGCUUUGACGGGUAGCCGGCCUGAGAGGGUGACCGGCCACAUUGGGACUGAGAUACAGCCCAGACUCCUACGGGAGGCAGCAGUGGGGAAUAUUGCACAAUGGGCGGAAGCCUGAUGCAGCAACGCCGCGUGCGGGAUGACGGCCUUCGGGUUGUAAACCGCUUUCGCCUGCGACGAAGCGUGAGUGACGGUAAUGGGUAAAGAAGCACCGGCUAACUACGUG
RNAcentral lists this ribosomal RNA (467 nucleotides) under uncultured bacterium. Its description in RNAcentral is "partial 16S ribosomal RNA". It matches the Rfam family "Bacterial small subunit ribosomal RNA", at positions 29 to 507 of the family's 1533-position model. The record is from RNAcentral.